Molecule: long non-coding RNA, 199 nt
Filed under: Lathyrus oleraceus (garden pea)
Lineage: Eukaryota; Viridiplantae; Streptophyta; Magnoliopsida; Fabales; Fabaceae
Description: Pisum sativum (pea) long non-coding RNA (PSAT_LNC006643)
Source: RNAcentral
GCCAAACAAGGAAAUAAACUAUCCUAUUGGCAAUGUGAACACGACAUCCACUAUUUUCCAAUUCUGUUAUGACUCGUAUAUCCUCAAUUUCCCCCAAAUUCCUUGCUUUCUGAGAAGAACGAUGAGACUGGUCAUGCCCCUCGAGAUGGUAGACGCUGAAGCGUGAUGAAGUACAGAUAACUCAGACUGUAGCCUUCGC